RNAcentral lists this transfer RNA (63 nucleotides) under Robertsicus elaphensis. RNAcentral describes it as "tRNA-Gly". The record is from RNAcentral. Lineage: Eukaryota; Metazoa; Arthropoda; Arachnida; Ixodida; Ixodidae.
AUUUAAUUAAUAUAAAAAGUAUAUUUAAUUUCCAAUUAAAAAGUUUAAUAAAUAAAUUAAAUA